UACGUAGGGACCAAGCGUUGUUCGGAUUUACUGGGCGUAAAGGGCGCGUAGGCGGCAAUUCAAGUCAUCUGUGAAAUCUCCGGGCUUAACCCGGAACGGUCAGGUGAUACUGUUUUGCUAGAGUGCGGAAGGGGCAAUCGGAAUUCUCGGUGUAGCGGUGAAAUGCGUAGAUAUCGAGAGGAACACCAGAGGUGAAGACGGGUUGCUGGGCCGACACUGACGCUGACAGCGCGAAAGCCAGGGGAGCAAACAGG
Molecule: ribosomal RNA, 254 nt
Filed under: uncultured bacterium
Lineage: Bacteria
Description: partial 16S ribosomal RNA
Rfam family: Bacterial small subunit ribosomal RNA
Source: RNAcentral